RNAcentral lists this antisense RNA (75 nucleotides) under Streptomyces sp. WM6386. RNAcentral's name for it is "ASpks TB sRNA". It matches the Rfam family "ASpks TB sRNA". Lineage: Bacteria; Bacillati; Actinomycetota; Actinomycetes; Kitasatosporales; Streptomycetaceae. The record is from Rfam by way of RNAcentral.
CUUGACCGAGCCCAGCCACAACGGGUCGGCCCGGUCACGGCCUUGCCCGUAGGUGGCCAGUACGGCACCCGCCUC